CUGCAAGUGAAAUAUUAACAUGAACAAUUACCAGAUUUUCAGAAAGAUUGAAACUAAAAGACGAUGCUAUGCCGACUAUAUUGGAUCCGACAGUAAUGUCGCACCACACAAGUGUCUGCUUUGGCAUAUCAAGUAAUCUGCUCCAGGGACCAAUGCUGUCAUAUCCGACAAGCUGAAGACUCUGGCCCCACGGUGCUUAGUUAAGCAAAGCAUACAGGAAGGGAUGAAAAGAAAGAACAACAUUCUUUACUUCAUACCGCACACUGAGG
This 269-nucleotide long non-coding RNA is filed under the name Sinocyclocheilus anshuiensis. RNAcentral describes it as "lncRNA (ENSSANG00000029351.1)". The record is from RNAcentral. Lineage: Eukaryota; Metazoa; Chordata; Actinopteri; Cypriniformes; Cyprinidae.